RNAcentral lists this ribosomal RNA (301 nucleotides) under uncultured bacterium. RNAcentral's name for it is "partial 16S ribosomal RNA". It matches the Rfam family "Bacterial small subunit ribosomal RNA", at positions 509 to 808 of the family's 1533-position model. The record is from RNAcentral.
CAGUCGCCGCGGGAAUACGUAGGCGGCAAGCGUUGUCCGGAAUUAUUGGGCGUAAAGGGAGCGCAGGUGGGACGGUAAGUCCGUCUUAAAAGGCAGGGGCUCAGCCCCUGUAAGGGAUGGAAACUAUCGAUCUUGAGUGCCGGAGAGGAAAGCGGAAUUCCCAGUGUAGCGGUGAAAUGCGUAGAUAUUGGGAAGAACACCAGUGGCGAAGGCGGCUUUCUGGACGGCAACUGACACUGAGGCUCGAAAGCCAGGGGAGCGAACGGGAUUAGAUACCCCUGUAGUCCCUGUCUCUUAUACC